Long non-coding RNA from Homo sapiens (human), 432 nucleotides. The record is from Ensembl. NCBI's taxonomy places the organism in Eukaryota, Metazoa, Chordata, Mammalia, Primates, Hominidae.
GAAAAGUUUGCCUGAUGUAAUGGAUCUAGGCGAUGAGUAUCCAUGGCUACCAACACGAGACAGACAACCAGAAAUGAUGUGCGUUGUGACGGAAGUACAUAUCCCUGUUCAGUAUAUACGUAAGCCUCUAGGUCUGACUGUCAGUAUAACCAGCCUGAGCUUCAGCUAUUGCUCCCUAACUGAGAAUGAGAUGCAAGAGAAGUCUCACUAGGAAAGGAGUCAGAGCUACGGGAAUUUUCAAGAGAACUUUAAAAAUUCUUCACUUAAAACUCUCUUUUUAAAAGAAAUCCUCGUGGAGCAUACCAACUACUGAAAUCAGAAAGACUUUUAUCAUUGCAAUUGUAACAAUAUUAAUUAUGCAUAGUUUAUUACUGUAUUAAGUGUAGGUGGAAUCUAUUUCAAGAAAACACAAUAAAGCCUAAACCAAAAUAA